UCCGCUGAGGAUGGCUUUUCCCCGGUGUAAUGAGCCGGGGGAAUAAGGAGAGGGCAAGACUGGUGUCAGCCGCCGCGGUAAUACCAGCUCUCCGAGUGGUAGGGAUGAUUAUUGGGCUUAAAGCGUCCGUAGCCGGCUUAGCAAGUCUCCUGUUAAAUUCAGCGACUUAAUCGUUGAGCCGCGGGAGAUACUACUGGACUAGGAGGCGGGAGAGGCCGACGGUAUUCUCGGGGUAGGGGUGAAAUCCUAUAAUCCCGGGAGGACCACCAGUGGCGAAGGCUGUCGG
This 286-nucleotide ribosomal RNA is filed under the name Candidatus Bathyarchaeota archaeon. RNAcentral's name for it is "partial 16S ribosomal RNA". It matches the Rfam family "Archaeal small subunit ribosomal RNA", at positions 391 to 679 of the family's 1478-position model. The record is from RNAcentral. Lineage: Archaea; Thermoproteati; Candidatus Bathyarchaeota.